UACGAAGGGGGCUAGCGUUGCUCGGAAUUACUGGGCGUAAAGCGCACGUAGGCGGAUUGUUAAGUCGGGGGUGAAAUCCUGGAGCUCAACUCCAGAACUGCCUUCGAUACUGGCGAUCUCGAGUUCGGGAGAGGUGAGUGGAACUGCGAGUGUAGAGGUGAAAUUCGUAGAUAUUCGCAAGAACACCGGUGGCGAAGGCGGGUCUCUGGGCCGUAACUGACGCUGAGGAGCGAAAGCGUGGGGAGCGAACAGG
RNAcentral lists this ribosomal RNA (253 nucleotides) under uncultured bacterium. RNAcentral describes it as "partial 16S ribosomal RNA". It matches the Rfam family "Bacterial small subunit ribosomal RNA", at positions 524 to 776 of the family's 1533-position model. The record is from RNAcentral.